UACAGUGGGUGCAAACGUUGCUCGGAAUUAUUGGGCGUAAAGCGCGCGUAGGCGGCUACUUAUGUCGGAUGUGAAAGCCCUUGGCUCAACUGAGGAAGUGCACCCGAAACUGAGUAGCUGGAGUACGAAAGAGGGUCGCGGAAUUCCCGGUGUAGAGGUGAAAUUCGUAGAUAUCGGGAGGAACACCGGUGGCGAAGGCGGCGACCUGGGUCGAUACUGACGCUGGAGCGCGAAAGCGUGGGGAGCAAACAGG
This 253-nucleotide ribosomal RNA is filed under the name uncultured bacterium. RNAcentral describes it as "partial 16S ribosomal RNA". It matches the Rfam family "Bacterial small subunit ribosomal RNA", at positions 524 to 776 of the family's 1533-position model. The record is from RNAcentral.